AUUGAACGCUAGCGGGAUGCCUUACACAUGCAAGUCGAACGGAGUGGCGAACGGGUGAGUAAUGUAUCGGAACGUGCCCAGUAGCGGGGGAUAACUACGCGAAAGCGUAGCUAAUACCGCAUACUAUUGGAGCGGCCGAUAUCGGAUUAGCUAGUUGGUGGGGUAACGGCGCCCCAAGGCGACGAUCCGUAGCUGGUUUGAGAGGACGACCAGCCACACUGGUACUGGGAAACAGCCCAAAAUCCUACGGAAGGCAGGAGUGGGGAAUAUUGCACAAUGGAGUGAAUUCUGAUGCAGCGACGCUGCGUGAACGAAGAAGGCUUUCGAGUCGUAAAGUUCUUUUAUAUGGGAACGGUACCAUAAGAAAAAGCCCCGGCUAACUACGUGCCAGCCGCCGCGGUAAUUC
RNAcentral lists this ribosomal RNA (406 nucleotides) under uncultured bacterium. Its description in RNAcentral is "partial 16S ribosomal RNA". It matches the Rfam family "Bacterial small subunit ribosomal RNA", at positions 30 to 526 of the family's 1533-position model. The record is from RNAcentral.